This 614-nucleotide long non-coding RNA is filed under the name Aotus nancymaae (Ma's night monkey). RNAcentral describes it as "lncRNA (ENSANAG00000038993.1)". The record is from RNAcentral. Lineage: Eukaryota; Metazoa; Chordata; Mammalia; Primates; Aotidae.
UACGCUUGUUAGGGCGUCCCAGGGGGCUGUCUUUUUCCUGGAAUGGAGUGUUUAUUUUUUAAUUGAUGUGCUGUUUCAUUUAGCGCUUGUAUGGAACUCAUGCUGGGGCUGUAAUUACUGUAAUCUCGGGAACAAGCAUUUCAGUUAGCCAGGAGGGUGGCAGAAUGUGUCCUCUCUCUCUCUCACUCUCACCGCCCCCCACCCCGCUCUCGCUCUCAGGCUCUCUUUCCCUCUCCUUCCUCCUCCCAUCUCCUUCUCCCUCUCUCCCUCUUCCUGCCUCCCUCUCAUCGUCCUUCUUCCCUCUCUCCUCUCUCCCCCCUCCUUUCCCUCUCCCUCUCUCCCUCUCUCCUCUCCCCCCCUUUACCUCUCCCGCCUCUUUCUCUCCGCCGUCCUCUCCCUCUUCCCUCCUCCCCUUUUCUCUCCGCUCGCUCUCACUCUUCUUGUUUCAAGAUUUUUGCCAUUUGCCAGGUUUCAUACCGGAACAAGUACAGCCGGAGGGCAAAAGUUGCAGAGGGCGUGGGGACAGAGCAAAAGAAUUAAAGAAAGUCACUAUCUCUGCCGUUGGCACCUUGUUUCCAGAACUCGAGCCUCCAGAGCGCUUCAGCUGCAGAUGA